CCGCAGUCUUCCCCCACACGUGGAUGGCCUCUGAACUCGUGUGCUCGUGCAAGCCCACCGAGGGUGCCACGCAGACCUAGGAGGUCACAGGCGGGCUUGGCCGGGAGGGACAGGGCAGGGUGCGGGGGCUUGUGGCGGAGGGGCCCUUCCUCUACCCUCCUCAGGAAAGCCACCCACUUCCCAUCCAGGGUCCCUGUUAGAAUCAGGAGCGUUUGGCCCUUCAGAGGGCGGCCGAGGCUCGUGCAUUCUGGAAGAGCUGCGUGGCUGCGCAGACACACCGGCCUCCGGGCAGGAGGAGUUCUGUUCCCGUGCAGUGGGUGUGGAAGCCGACCUGAGCCCUCGGGGGUGUGGGGGGCUCCAGCCUCAGCCCAAAUCACCGGGUGGCCCGGGUGUGUCCCUCCUCACCUCCAUGGUCCUCUGUGAGACGGGAGGGCUGCUGAGAUCACAUCCAGGAUCCCAUCCGCCCUGGUGCGCUCCAGCUUGGGCUCCUCCCACUGGCAGAAGCAACCGGCUCACGCCUGUGGGAGAAGCGCGCAGGCUCUUCCUGCGGGAAGGCAGCUGUGGCCUUUGUCCCGGGUCAGUUCCGGGGCGGCUGGUGGUGCUGCUGCUCCAUCGUGGGACAGGGCCUGCCUGGAUGCAGUGUCUCACACUGGGCCUGACUGUGCCCCACGCGGGCUGGGCUGUCAGGGCAUGACCUCUAAUGCCCUUGGGGGUGGAGCCGCUGCGUUCCCAUUUCCAAGAGAAGAAAAUUGAGUCUUGGCAAAGCUGACCCCCUCUCCUAGAGGUGCUGCUCCAGCACCCCCAUCCCCAGGCCAUGGGUCCAGCAGGCUGAGGAGGCGUGAAGCCUGGGAGGGCGGCCGUCUGCCCACUGCUCUUCCCUGCUAUCCUGGCCACAGCUGCUCUGUUUUGGGGAGGAGGUGGCUUUUCCGAGAGUGGGGGAGUUGUCUGUGAAAACAAGGGCGUGAGCAGCUUUCCACAGCACCCCAGACCCCGAGGGCAAGAGGAGAAGCCGCCACAUGGCACGUGUGCUCUGGGCAGUCGGGGUCAGGGUGAUCACCGCGGGCCGGGGCCCCCGCCCUCCCUCUCCUGACCUGCGUGCUCUUUUCCAGCUUGCGGGAAGUUGACGGGCAUCAGUGACCCCGUGACUGUCAAGACCUCCGGCUCGAGGUUCGGAUCCUGGAUGACAGACCCUCUCGCCCCCGAAGGCGAUAACCGGGUGUGGUACAUGGACGGCUAUCACAACAACCGCUUCGUACGUGAGUACAAGUCCAUGGUUGACUUCAUGAACACGGACAAUUUCACCUCCCACCGUCUCCCCCACCCCUGGUCGGGCACGGGGCAGGUGGUCUACAACGGUUCUAUCUACUUCAACAAGUUCCAGAGCCACAUCAUCAUCAGGUUUGACCUGAAGACAGAGACCAUCCUCAAGACCCGCAGCCUGGACUAUGCCGGUUACAACAACAUGUACCACUACGCCUGGGGUGGCCACUCGGACAUCGACCUCAUGGUGGACGAGAGCGGGCUGUGGGCCGUGUACGCCACCAACCAGAACGCUGGCAACAUCGUGGUCAGUAGGCUGGACCCCGUGUCCCUGCAGACCCUGCAGACCUGGAACACGAGCUACCCCAAGCGCAGCGCCGGGGAGGCCUUCAUCAUCUGCGGCACGCUGUACGUCACCAACGGCUACUCAGGGGGCACCAAGGUCCACUACGCAUACCAGACCAAUGCCUCAACCUACGAAUACAUCGACAUCCCCUUCCAGAACAAAUACUCCCACAUCUCCAUGCUGGACUACAACCCCAAGGACCGGGCCCUGUAUGCCUGGAACAACGGCCACCAGAUCCUCUACAACGUGACCCUCUUCCACGUCAUCCGCUCCGACGAGUUGUAGCUCCCUCCUCCUGGAAGCCAAGGGCCCACGUCCUCACCACAAGGAAACUCCUGUGAAGCCGCUGCCAAAAAGAUACCAAUAAUACUAACAAUACCGAUCUUGAAAAAUCAUCAGCAGUGCGGAUUCUGACAUCGAGGGAUGGCAUUACCUCCGUGUUUCUCCCUUUCGAGCCGGCGGGCCACAGACGUCGGAAGAAACUCCCGUAUUUGCAGCUGGAACUGCAGCCCACGGCGCCCCGGUUUUCCUCCCCGCCCUGUCCCUCUCUGGUCAAACAACAUACUAAAGAGGCGAGGCAAUGACUGUUGGCCAGUUCUCACCGGGGAAAAACCCACUGUUAGGAUGGCAUGAACAUUUCCUUAGAUCGUGGUCAGCUCCGAGGAAUGUGGCGUCCAGGCUCUUUGAGAGCCGUGGGCCGCACCCGGCCGUAGGCUAGUGUAACUCGCUUCCCAUCGCAGUGCCGUUUCUUGACUGUGUUGCUGUCUCUUAGAUUAACCGUGCUGAGACUCCACGUAGCUCCUGGACCUGUGUCUAGUACAUACUGAAGCGAUGGUCAGAGUGUGUAGAGUGAAGUUGCUGUGCCCACGUUGUUUGAACUCGCGUACCCCGUAGAUAUAUUGUGCCACGUUCUUCUGUUAUUCCCUUGAGGUGGUAACUUCGUAUGUUCAGUUUAUGCAAUGAUUGUUGUAAAUGCAAUGCCGUAGUUUGGAUUAAUAAGUGGAUGGUUUUUGUUUCU
RNAcentral lists this small RNA (2624 nucleotides) under Pan troglodytes (chimpanzee). Its description in RNAcentral is "retained intron". The record is from RNAcentral. Lineage: Eukaryota; Metazoa; Chordata; Mammalia; Primates; Hominidae.